CUUCCAAUCCAUGUAUCUGUAAGACAUUCUGCAUGAAAACCACUAAAGUCCCCUGAUUUUAACUCCUUUUCAAGAAUAAGUUUCAUAUCUUCAUUUUUCUUCCCUUUCAAUAACUGUAGAACUUUAUUCUGAAUGAUAUCCGAAGUGUCAUUUCCUUGGUAUAACUUCUCAACAUUAUUGAGCGCAUUCAACCAGAUAUUAUACCAUUCCACUGUAUCAGUGUCUUCAGUUACUGUCCAGGCAAAUUUUGCCAUUGGAUGCUUUUCAUACAGAGGUCUCUUAAUCUUCUCAAGUUCAAGGACACCUUCAGG
RNAcentral lists this unclassified non-coding RNA (311 nucleotides) under Hevea brasiliensis (rubber tree). The record is from RNAcentral. Lineage: Eukaryota; Viridiplantae; Streptophyta; Magnoliopsida; Malpighiales; Euphorbiaceae.